AAAAAAAGGUCAUACAUGUAGGACAAACUGAUUCAAUAAAUUCAAUAAGCAUUAAUUAAGUACUUACUAUGUGCAAGACUGUAAGAUUCAGUGGACGUGGGGCCAGAUCUGGAGCCAAGGCUACCAAGUUUUGGUUCUUCUAACUCUGGCUGGGCACUCUAGGACAAGUCACUUAGCUCAAACAUUCUAAAUUGCAGGACAGAAGCCAAUCUGCAUAAGCUUCCUCUUUGGAAACUCCCUACUCUUUGGACCCAAGAAAGGUGUAAAACACUGCUUUAGGGUGGGGGCAGGGGGCUAUAAAGAUAAAAACCAAAACAGCUCCGGCCUUUAAAGAGAUUCCAUUCUACUGAGGUGGAGCUAGGGGAGGUUAAAGAGAAGAGAGAUGCUGUGUAAACAAAUGCCAGGUCCCAAAUAAGGAAAAGCCUUUACUUAUACCUUCCAAAGGCCCUUUGGGGAAGUUGGAGAAGAGGAGUAGACUUUCUGAGCUUCCUGUUCCUGGAUCAGAUUCCUCUAACUCACUAGGAAAUCACCAUGAGGGUCAUUGCACAAUUUGGAACCUGGCAAGAGUAUCUACAGGAAGAAAUACCUCUGCAAAUCUGCCUUAGAAACAAGGUGGGAGUGUCUAUCCAUCUCAGCUACUAUUAACAACUGACACUGAAGUUAAAACUCCAAGAUG
This 676-nucleotide long non-coding RNA is filed under the name Phascolarctos cinereus (koala). RNAcentral describes it as "lncRNA (ENSPCIG00000021167.2)". Lineage: Eukaryota; Metazoa; Chordata; Mammalia; Diprotodontia; Phascolarctidae. The record is from RNAcentral.